RNAcentral lists this small RNA (127 nucleotides) under Marmota monax (woodchuck). The record is from RNAcentral. Lineage: Eukaryota; Metazoa; Chordata; Mammalia; Rodentia; Sciuridae.
GCUGGGCACAGUGAUGCAUGCCUGUAAUCCCAGCGACUUGGGAGGCUGAGGCAGGAGGAUUGUGAAUUCAAACCUAGCCUCAGCAACUCAGGGAGGCCCUAAGCAACUCAGGGAGACCCUGCCUCUA